ACGGGUGAGUAACACGUAGGUAACCUGCCUAUGAGACUGGGAUAACUAUCGGAAACGAUAGCUAAGACCGGAUAACUGGUUUUCUCGCAUGAGAGAAUCAUGAAACACGGAGCAAUCUGUGGCUUAUAGAUGGGCCUGCGGCGCAUUAGCUAGUUGGUAGGGUAAUGGCCUACCAAGGCGACGAUGCGUAGCCGACCUGAGAGGGUGACCGGCCACACUGGGACUGAGACACGGCCCAGACUCCUACGGGAGGCAGCAGUAGGGAAUCUUCCGCAAUGGACGCAAGUCUGACGGAGCAACGCCGCGUGAGUGAUGAAGGUUUUCGGAUCGUAAAGCUCUGUUGCCCUAGACGAACAGCAUGAGGAGUAACUGCCUUGUGUGUGACGGUAUAGGAGAAGAAAGCCCCGGCUAACUACGUGCCAGCAGCCGCGGUAAUACGUAGGGGGCAAGCGUUGUCCGGAAUUAUUGGGCGUAAAGCGCGCGCAGGCGGUUAGUUAAGUUGGGUGUUUAAGCCCGGGGCUCAACCCCGGUUCGCAUCCAAAACUGGUUGACUUGAGUGUAGGAGAGGAAAGUGGAAUUCCACGUGUAGC
RNAcentral lists this ribosomal RNA (590 nucleotides) under uncultured bacterium. RNAcentral's name for it is "bacterial SSU rRNA". It matches the Rfam family "Bacterial small subunit ribosomal RNA", at positions 102 to 679 of the family's 1533-position model. The record is from RNAcentral.